GAUGAACGCUAGCUACAGGCUUAACACAUGCAAGUCGAGGGGCAGCAUGGUCUUAGCUUGCUAAGGCCGAUGGCGACCGGCGCACGGGUGAGUAACACGUAUCCAACCUGCCGUCUACUCUUGGACAGCCUUCUGAAAGGAAGAUUAAUACAAGAUGGCAUCAUGAGUCCGCAUGUUCACAUGAUUAAAGGUAUUCCGGUAGACGAUGGGGAUGCGUUCCAUUAGAUAGUAGGCGGGGUAACGGCCCACCUAGUCUUCGAUGGAUAGGGGUUCUGAGAGGAAGGUCCCCCACAUUGGAACUGAGACACGGUCCAAACUCCUACGGGAGGCAGCAGUGAGGAAUAGUGGGCAAUGGGCGCAGGCCUGAACCAGCCAAGUAGCGUGAAGGAUGACUGCCCUAUGGGUUGUAAACUUCUUUUAUAAAGGAAUAAAGUCGGGUAUGGAUACCCGUUUGCAUGUACUUUAUGAAUAAGGAUCGGCUAACUCCGUG
RNAcentral lists this ribosomal RNA (490 nucleotides) under uncultured bacterium. Its description in RNAcentral is "partial 16S ribosomal RNA". It matches the Rfam family "Bacterial small subunit ribosomal RNA", at positions 28 to 507 of the family's 1533-position model. The record is from RNAcentral.